UGAGCAAUCUGCCCUUCUCUUCGGAAUAAGCGUUGGAAACGACGUCUAAUGCCGAAUACGACCUCCUUUCACAUGAUCGGAGGUGGAAAGCUCCGGCGGAGAAGGAUGAGCUCGCGGCCUAUCAGCUAGUUGGUGUGGGUAACGGCCCACCAAGGCGACGACGGGUAGCCGGUCUGAGAGGAUGGCCAGCCACAUUGGGACUGAGACACGGCCAGACUUCGUACGGGAGCA
Molecule: ribosomal RNA, 231 nt
Filed under: uncultured bacterium
Lineage: Bacteria
Description: partial 16S ribosomal RNA
Rfam family: Bacterial small subunit ribosomal RNA
Source: RNAcentral